AACGAACGCUGGCGGCGUGCCUAACACAUGCAAGUCGUGCGAGAAAGUUCCUUCGGGAGCGAGUAAAGCGGCGCACGGGUGAGUAACACGUAGGUAACCUGCCCCCCAGUCUGGAACAACUAGAGGAAACUCUAGCUAAUGCCGGAUGAGACCACGAUCCCUUCGGGGUUGCGGCCAAAGAUGGCCUCUACUUGUAAGCUAUCGCUGAGGGAUGGGCCUGCGGGCCAUUAGCUUGUUGGUGAGGUAACGGCUCACCAAGGCUGUGAUGGCUAGCUGGUCUGAGAGGAUGACCAGCCACACUGGGACUGAGACACGGCCCAGCUCCUACGGGAGGCAGCAGGUGGGGAAUAUUGCGCAAUGGGACGAAGCCUGACGC
RNAcentral lists this ribosomal RNA (376 nucleotides) under uncultured bacterium. RNAcentral's name for it is "bacterial SSU rRNA". It matches the Rfam family "Bacterial small subunit ribosomal RNA", at positions 29 to 389 of the family's 1533-position model. The record is from RNAcentral.